GAGGGUAUAGCUCAAGUGGUAGAGCACAUGCUUAGCAUGCACGAGGUUCUGGGUUCAAUCCCCAGUACCUCCA
Molecule: transfer RNA, 73 nt
Filed under: Camelus bactrianus (Bactrian camel)
Lineage: Eukaryota; Metazoa; Chordata; Mammalia; Artiodactyla; Camelidae
Also listed under: 1 other name
Rfam family: tRNA
About the family: Transfer RNA (tRNA) molecules are approximately 80 nucleotides in length. Their secondary structure includes four short double-helical elements and three loops (D, anti-codon, and T loops).
Source: Rfam by way of RNAcentral